UCCUUUUUUCUUAUUCACAUUUUUUGGCCAACUCAGACCACCCAAUAAGCGCUUGCGACUAGGCGAAGACUUAGAUAUCGUCUCAUGAUACAUUUCCAUUCCUCGGAUACACCGAAAAGUUGAUUCUCCGAUAACAAGAGAUCAUUUGAAUAAUCUAUGGUACUUUGUUGAAGUCAUCCUUCUAAAUCUUCCCGUUUGAUGAACGCUGGUGACUAAGCGAAAAUUCAGAUGUGAUCUCCUAAUACAUUUUCAUUUCUCGGAAGUGGCGAGAAAAUCGAUUGGAUGAUCUAUCUUACUUGAUUUUUGUAGAUUCAAUUGAAGAAGUUCUUCUUUUCUACAACUGGUUUAAGUAUUUCCAAAUGCAUGAAAUGAUCAUCAAUUUAAGCAUAAGUGGAUCAAGCGAAAUUCUUAGAAGAGUUUCAAUACUCUUCCUUCAAAGGUAUUCACAAGUUCUCUUCUAGUUUACCACUUGAGAUUAUGAAAUAAUAAAGUGACACAAGCAUAUACAUAAUAAGGUGCCUACCUUUGUUAAUUCUCUUGAAUCUUAUGUAGGCUUCUCUUCCCUUCAAAAUAAUGUGAUUGGUCUUGAAUGAAAAUUCAAAAAAAAUAGACGAAAAACAAAUAUGAUCAAAUAACUCAAAAUUCAAAAAUGUUUUUAAGAAAGUGGACUUUGCAGAACUCACUACACGAACUGCAUUUUGAGCAGAAAUUGCAUUAUGAAAAUGCACAAAUCCGCAACAGUAUCCAUCCUACAUUCACAAAUUUUUCUAUUGAGAUGCAUUAUCGUGAACAAGAAAAAGGUUUGAGCAAAUGAUAAAAUAAGAGUAACCAGGAACAAUGUAAAACAAAUAUCCCUCAUAAGUUUUGAGCUAAACAUCGCGACUGUAAACUGGUCCAAACUGUUUAACAUUGGCGUGGAGGUCACUUCUUGUCAUGUUGGUUGACAAUCCUCCAAUGUAUAUCGAUUUGACUAUAAACGUGUAAACAAACAAUUCAGAAAACUGUCAAACAUGGUAAAAUUUCCUCAACUAUUAGAUUUUAGACAAUGCAAAUUUACAUUUGAUUUCCUCAUUGGAAUUUUCUUGUUGAAGCACUGGUUGAAGGAGCUGCAGCUUUGGACACGCCACUCAAGCUAGACGUCAGCGCCUUAACUAAGCCGUCAUUGGCUUAAGGUUUUUAGGUGCUGAUGGGAGACCAGCAUUUGCAACAACUCACACAAUAUUGUAUGGGGCAUUCGUAGGCGGUGAGGACCUGCCCUACUUCAUCUAUAGGAAACAUUUCGAAUUAGGCAAAGCAUUAGAUGUAAGAAACUCUAAGAAAAACUUUAUAAUCUUCCUAUAACUGGCAUCUGAACCAAACGACCCCUGAAUUUAUAACUAACCGUUGAAGCGUAACUAACUUUAGGUCUCAUUCUCAAUGAAUGGAGUUGUCUUAACAAUAAAUUUUUCCUUUUGCUCGGAGUGAUUAAAGUCUUCUUUUCAACUUGAUCAUCAUUUGUCACCUUAGUAUCUGAUUUAUAAGAAACUUCCUUGAAAUUAGCUUUGAUGUCAUCUUCAGCUUUGCUUUUAGUAGCUAUUCCUUAAUGCAAUAGUAAUUCCAAAAGGGGGAAAAAGUUACACUAAGGAGCACCUCGAGAAAAGCGACCAGAGGUAUACAAAACAUACUGUCAUGUCCUCAACGAAGGCCACCGCCACCCUUUCCACCACCACUCUGAACCGUUGUUCAUACCGUUGCAACAACUCUAACGACACCUUACAUAUCACCACCAUCACCACUAACACCACCGUUAGCUCCUCCUCUUUCUGUUGUCUAUGUUUCUUAGUGGUGAUGUGGAAGGCGUCGUUAUAGUUGUAGCAACGGUAUGAACAGCGGUUUGGAGUGGUGGUAGAAAGGGUGGAGGUGGCCUCCGACAUGACGUUAUGUUUUGUAUACCUCUAGUUGGUUUUCUCGAGGUGCUCCUUAGUGUAACUUAUCUUAUUCUUUUCCCUUUUGGAAUUACUAUUGCAUUCAGAACUAGCAACUGAAAACAAAGGUGAAGAUAAUUUCAAAUCUGAUGUCAAGGAAGUUUCUAAAAACCAGAUACUAAGGUGAUAAAUGAUGAUCAAGUUGUCAAGAAGCCUUCAAUCACUCCGAGCAAAAAAGAAAAAUCAGUUGUUGAGACAGCUUCCGUCGUUGAGAAUGGGACUCCUAAAGUUAGUUAUGCUUCAAUGGUUAGUUAUAACUUCAGGGAUCACUUGGUUCAGAUGCUAGUUAUACGGAGAUUAUAAAGUUUUUCUUAGAGUUUCUUACAUCUAAAGAUUUGCCUAAUUCGAAAUUCUUCCUAUAGAUGAAGUAGGGCAAGUCCUCACCGCCUUGGAAAUCCCCAUACAAUAUUGUAUAAACUGCUGCAGAUGUUGGUCUCCCAUCAACACCUUAAUAAACCUCAAGCCAAUAGCGGCUUAGUUAAGGCGCUGACCUCUAGUUCGAGUGGUGUGUCGAAAGAUGCAUCUCCUUCAACCAGUGCUACAACAAGAUAAUUCUAACGAGGAAAUCGAAAUGUAAAUUUGCAUUGUCUUAAAUCAAAUAGUUGAGGAAAUUUAUCAUGUUUUACCGUUUUCUGAAUUGUUUGUUUACACGUUUACAUGCAAACCAAUAUACAUUGGAGGAUUGCCAACCAACACAACAAGAAGUGACCUCCACGUUAUUGUCAAACAGUUUUGACCAAUUCACAGUCAUGAUGUUCAACUCAAAACUAUAGUUUGUUUUUCAUUGUUGUUGGUUAUUGUUAGUUUAUCAUUUGCUCAAACAUUUUUCUUGUUUACAAUUACGCAUCUCAAUAAAAAAAGUUGUGAAUGUAGGAUGGAUAAUGAUGUGGAUUUGUGCAUUUUCAGGAUGCAAUUUCUGCUCAAAAGCAGUUCAUGUAAUGAGUUCUGCAAAGUCCUCUUUCUUCAAAACAUUUCCGAAAUUUGAGUUAUUUGAUCAAAUUUUGAUGUUUGUCUAUUUUUUUUUGAAUUUUCAUUCUAGACCCAUCACAUUAUUGCGAAGGGGAAAGAAGCCUACAUAAGGUUCAAGAUAAUUAACAGAGGUACCGACUUAUGUAUUCGUGUGUCACUUUAUUCUGACAAACUCUACAAUGGCCCACAAAGUUGAGCAAUCCAGUAGAAGAGGCCGAUGAGAACUGUGAUCUGGCCACCUAGAGCAAUCUAAAGGUAACAGCAGGGUUCACGUGACCACCGGAGAUGUUAGCGGCAAUUGAAACUCGCACAAACAAAGCAAAUCCAUGGCAAACUGCAACAGCUACAAGCCCGAACGGAUCAAGAGCAGCAUCAGCUGUCAACUUGUCUGCAUCCAAUACAAUACAAAAUUUAGAACCAUAUAAUCCCCAAAAAGCUAAAUAGACCAGUUAGUAAUCCACAGGGGACCUGUUGUUUAACUUUGUUAUUUUACUUUGUAAGACUCUGACCUCAUGAAACAUUUUAACAAGGUAAUUAUUAUAAUGUUUAGGCAAAUGGUCAACCAUCUAUUAGAUGAUUGUAAAACUUUUACCCACAAAGGUUAAUUUUCGCGCCUCUCCAAUGCCAUCAGAAUAAAGCUUGGAACUUGAAAAAUUAAUGAUUGA
Molecule: long non-coding RNA, 3598 nt
Organism: Lycium barbarum (goji berry)
Lineage: Eukaryota; Viridiplantae; Streptophyta; Magnoliopsida; Solanales; Solanaceae
Exons: 2
Source: RefSeq, a predicted model, not a curated record